CUUGUUCUUUCCGCCUAUAUACCGCCGUCGUCAGUUUACCCUGUGAAGGUAAGACAGUAAGCACAAUUGGCACAGCCUAAAACGCCAGGUCGAGGUGUAGCGUAUGGAAGGGGAAGAAAUGGGCUACAUUCCUUAACAUUAAGGUAUACGGAUGAUAUGUUGAAAUACAUAACUGAAGGAGGAUUUAGCAGUAAGCAGGAAGUAGAGUGUCCCGCUGAAAUUGGCUCUGAAGCGCGUACACACCGCCCGUCACUCUCCCCAAGCUAAAGUUUGUCAUUUAACUAAAACGCUAUACCUGUAAAGGGGAGGCAAGUCGUAACAUGGUAAGUGUACCGGAAGGUGCACUUGGAACAAAACAUAC
RNAcentral lists this ribosomal RNA (361 nucleotides) under Centropyge nox (midnight angelfish). RNAcentral describes it as "partial 12S ribosomal RNA". It matches the Rfam family "Bacterial small subunit ribosomal RNA", at positions 1025 to 1533 of the family's 1533-position model. The record is from RNAcentral. Lineage: Eukaryota; Metazoa; Chordata; Actinopteri; Pomacanthidae.